GACGAACGCUGGCGGCGUGCUUAACACAUGCAAGUCGAACGGAAAGGCCCUGCUUUUGUGGGGUGCUCGAGUGGCGAACGGGUGAGUAACACGUGAGUAACCUGCCCUUGACUUUGGGAUAACUUCAGGAAACUGGGGCUAAUACCGGAUAGGAGCUCCUGCUGCAUGGUGGGGGUUGGAAAGUUUCGGCGGUUGGGGAUGGACUCGCGGCUUAUCAGCUUGUUGGUGGGGUAGUGGCUUACCAAGGCUUUGACGGGUAGCCGGCCUGAGAGGGUGACCGGCCACAUUGGGACUGAGAUACGGCCCAGAACCCUACGGGAGGCAGGAGGGGGGAAUAUUGCAACAUGGGCGGAAGCCUGAUGCAGGCACGCCGCGUGCGGGAUGACGGCCUUCGGGUUGUAAACCGCUUUCGCCUGUGACGAAGCGUGAGUGACGGUAAUGGGUAAAGAAGCACCGGCUAACUACGUG
This 468-nucleotide ribosomal RNA is filed under the name uncultured bacterium. RNAcentral describes it as "partial 16S ribosomal RNA". It matches the Rfam family "Bacterial small subunit ribosomal RNA", at positions 28 to 507 of the family's 1533-position model. The record is from RNAcentral.